AGAGUUUGAUCCUGGCUCAGGACGAACGCUGGCGGCGUGCUUAACACAUGCAAGUCGAACGGAAAGGCCCUGCUUUUGUGGGGUGCUCGAGUGGCGAACGGGUGAGUAACACGUGAGUAACCUGCCCUUGACUUUGGGAUAACUUCAGGAAACUGGGGCUAAUACCGGAUAGGAGCUCCUGCUGCAUGGUGGGGGUUGGAAAGUUUCGGCGGUUGGGGAUGGACUCGCGGCUUAUCAGCUUGUUGGUGGGGUAACGGCCCACCAAGGCGACGACGGGUAGCUGGUCUGAGAGGACGAUCAGCCACACUGGGACUGAGACACGGCCCAGACUCCUACGGGAGGCAGCAGUGGGGAAUAUCGCGCAAUGGGCGAAAGCCUGACGCAGCAACGCCGCGUGAGGGAUGAAGGCCUUCGGGUUGUAAACCUCUUUCGAGCAG
RNAcentral lists this ribosomal RNA (437 nucleotides) under uncultured bacterium. Its description in RNAcentral is "bacterial SSU rRNA". It matches the Rfam family "Bacterial small subunit ribosomal RNA", at positions 8 to 443 of the family's 1533-position model. The record is from RNAcentral.